Astatotilapia calliptera (eastern happy) is the source of this 3294-nucleotide long non-coding RNA. The record is from Ensembl. NCBI's taxonomy places the organism in Eukaryota, Metazoa, Chordata, Actinopteri, Cichliformes, Cichlidae.
CGAAACCGUCAGUGCUUUUAUUGUGAAAAGCUGUUUCCGUGUCAUACCGGAAGCGGUGGGCUUGAUGCUGAGAGCUUCAUGUUGCCGGUCAGCAGAAGGUCAGCCAACAGCAGCAACAGCAGCAGCAGCGGAUAGUUGUCGGUCAGGUAGCACGAAGUUAACGAUCGAUCGGUUAAUCGGCUCCGUUUGUGCUCUUUGGGCGGGAAACCGGCAGCUUCCGGUCAGUGUCUACCAAACUAAUGCUAACAGGCUAACUAUUAGCUGCUAGCAUGCAGUGCGCGCACCCCAUGAAGAAGAGAAGUCUGGAGGCGGAGCCGCGCAACUCCAAAGCGGUAAGACCUGAGGAGGAGGAGGAGGAGGAGGAGCAGUUUAUUAGGAGUAGCCGGGGUCAUCAGAGUUUUUGGACAAAAACAGUAAUAACUUUAUUUAAACAGUUUACAGAGACACGAGCCAAACAAAAACCAUAGAAGAAGAAACAUCAGCGAAAUAAGAGAACUACAAAAUAUAAAAACUACAAAGUGACAUCAGUCCUGAGCCUCUUCAAGUACAUCAAGUACAUCUGCAGGAACAUCUGCAGCUUCUCGGUUGCUUGGAGCUCUUAUUUGAACCUUCAGAUGUGGCUCUGUUCCUCUGAUCUUCGUACCUCAGCCUUUCCUCCUCGUUCCCUUCAUUAAGAACGGCUUCCUGAUGGGCUAAAGGUCCAAAUCAUCUCCCGGGUCCUGUGUCGGGUCUUCAGAACCCGUUCCUCUGCUGUGGAGAUUUUAGGCCUCACACUUCUUCUUCUGUCCAGCUUCCUAAGAAGUCGAAGCGCACCACGCUGAGAUAAGCAGAGCUUUCAGCUGACAGCUCUCUGGGAGUCGCACUUUCUCCCUUAUCUUUCCUGCUUGGCUUUCAUGUCCUUUGUAUAGUCUCGCUUAUUCUCUAACCCUAAGAGAGUCUCCCAGACUUGUUCUCUAAAAACCUAAAGAAGAAAUAUGGAUUUGAUCAACUGGUCCCUUAAUGGAAUUGAUACCCUUGGGAGAGCCCGAUUGUCCUGCGGAGACGUUUGCUGCCGGAUACUCGAUGGUCGGUUGCGUCGUGUGUCUGACGACGCUCGAUGGAGGACAAUGAACGACAUCUACCAAUUCAGAACCACGAUAACAGAGUUCUGGCUGAUUGGAGCUGGUUCAGCUUAUUGAAGAACAAGAAGCGGCUACAGCUGUUCAAAAUCCCACCAGGCUGGCCGACAUGACAGACGAUGGGCAGGGCUGCGAGUAAGACUGUGUUUAUUGAACGCAAUAUGGAUACGAUCUUGGAGAAGAACGGGAAUUGAGAGACCUGGUGACCAGUGACGGACAUUAGACCAACUGUAAAAUUGGAAGCAGUUUGUUUGCCCCAAAACAGCUGCCAUCUCCAUCAUGAAGAUGCUCAGGGCACAAGCUGACGGGAAUAACAAAACUCUCCUUUAGAUAAUAAGACUGUUUGUUGUGACUCUCUCCCUCCUCAUUCAAGGCCGCCCGUGUCGACCGAAGAUUGUUGACUUUUGCUUAACCUUUCUCUCGGCUGAACACACGCAUGCACACGCACACACACACACACAUGUGCAUGUACACUGACACAGAGCUUCAUGGAUUCAUUAAAGAAACGGGAACGCUGACGUGUUUCUGUGACGGGAAACAACGGGUCAGAGGGGACGUGAGACGCUGCAUGUAGAGGUAACUCUGUAUGUGAAGUUGGGGUUUUGAAAACAUGUUUAGCACAAUCUUGUGUCGGUACAACUGUUUGCUUGUGUUGGGAACAUUUUGCUUUUUGCAUAAAGUUGGCUGAUGGCAGCACGUGAACAUCUGCUUUGCAGGCUCGAUGAGGAACAGCUGCAGACUCCAGCAUGUCGGUCUGACACAGUCCUCGUUUAUAAAGUGCGUUACAAACACCAGCAUCACGGCCAACAGCUGGAUGUUCCUGUUUGAGUGCAGCCAGCCAAACAGCCACUUCCUGUUUACAGUUUAUCCUGGUUUAACAUGGACUCACUGCUGCAGCACCACAGUGAUCCCCUCACACUGCUGUUUACUUUCCUCAGGUAUAACAUAAACUAAUGUGAGCCUGUGAGCCCGGCCAACCAACCGCGUGACGUCACACUCCGUGCUGACAGAAGAUGGCGCUGAACAUGUUUUUAACACUUGAAGCACUGAUUUCUUAAAGCCAGCGUCACAGACAGAGUGACAGCUGUGGGAGUGUCUGAGAGCAGGUCCGUGGGGUAAAGGAGGUGUGCACCACUGAGGGCUGACGGAGGCCACUCAGUGACUUCUUCAUGACCUCUGUGGUUGCGUGCUGUACUUCUGGAUUACCAAAACGCAAGUUUAGAAGGAAAGUGACACACCUGCUUAGCCCCACCCCGUCAGUGAGGUCACAGUUUCAGGUGAGGUCCUCAGGUGUGCUGAUGGUGCUGAUGUUGGGUUUUUUUUUUUCAGAAGCGGCUCUGUUUGGAGGCGGAGCUCCAGAUGUCCGACUGUCCAAUGGAGACGUCGCAGAGCAGUCCUGCGACCAAUCAGCAGCCGGAUCAACAGGUACGGCCCACACCUGUUCUGCUCUGCUGUCCGAGGUGUCUCAGAGGAGAACCGGGUCACUUCAACCACAUCAUGGGCCUCUGAAGCUCCACCCAUUCUCCUGCAACCAGCCGUCCAAUCACAUUGAUGCUUCAGGUGCUUCACUAAAAUGGUGCUGCUGGAAGAUGUCAUCAAGGCCCCACCCCACCUUCACAUCGUUGUCAAGGAGACGGUUUAACGUUUCCAUCCAGUGAUGCAUUCAGGACCAGCAGUACUCCUCAGACUUAAGUUCUGAAAUCUCUGAUGUCCUUGUAUCCCUGAACACACCACUGAGUGUGAGCGUUUACCUGAGCUUUAAGCCCACCCCCUCUCCUGUGUGAUAUGUGCAACAGUCCAAUCAAUGAUCAAUAACUGUGAUUGACGUGGUGGUGCGUUCACUGUCUCCGUUUAAAGGGCUUUCACACGGUGAAGACUUGUGAUGUGUUUACAGGAAAAAUGCCAGUAGAAUAUUUUUUAACUCCAGUAUAGAACCGACUGAAAGGCUUAACGAGGUGUUAAUGAGAGUUUACUAUAAGGGGAAGGAAAAUCCAUGUGGUUUUUCAAAAUAAGAGUCUUCGUGUCUGUACAUUUCUAUUUUUCUGAGGCAGAUUUGUAUAUUUUUUACUCUGAAUUUGACUGAAUGUAAAAGCAGCUCCCUAUUUUUGAUGACAUCACUUCCGCUAUCUGAGGCCAGCAUUUGUACUGAUUUCAGAAUAAAAGCUUUGACUGUGAA